Non-coding RNA from Rhipicephalus microplus (southern cattle tick), 82 nucleotides. The record is from the annotation of a RefSeq genome assembly. NCBI's taxonomy places the organism in Eukaryota, Metazoa, Arthropoda, Arachnida, Ixodida, Ixodidae.
GCAGUCGUGGCCGAGUGGUCAAGGCGAUGGUCUCGAAAACCGUUGGCGUGUCCCCGCAAGGGUUCGAAACCCGCCGACUGUG